CGUAGGUGAACCUGCGGAAGGAUCAUUACCGAGUGCGGGCUGCCUCCGGGCGCCCAACCUCCCACCCGUGACUACCUAACACUGUUGCUUCGGCGGGGAGCCCCCCAGGGGGCGAGCCGCCGGGGACCACUGAACUUCAUGCCUGAGAGUAAUGCAGUCUGAGUCUGAAUACAAAUCAGUCAAAACUUUCAACAAUGGAUCUCUUGGUUCCGGCAUCGAUGAAGAACGCAGCGAACUGCGAUAAGUAAUGUGAAUUGCAGAAUUCAGUGAAUCAUCGAGUCUUUGAACGCACAUUGCGCCCCCUGGCAUUCCGGGGGGCAUGCCUGUCCGAGCGUCAUUGCUGCCCUUCAAGCCCGGCUUGUGUGUUGGGUCGUCGUCCCCCCCGGGGGACGGACCCGAAAGGCAGCGGCGGCACCGUGUCCGGUCCUCGAGCGUAUGGGGCUUUGUCACCCGCUCGAUUAGGGCCGGCCGGGCGCCAGCCGGCGUCUCCAACCUUAUUUUUCUCAGGUUGACCUCGGAUCAGGUAGGGAUACCCGCUGAACUUAAGCAUAUCAAUAAGCGGAGGAAAAGAAACCAACCGGGAUUGCCUCAGUA
RNAcentral lists this ribosomal RNA (594 nucleotides) under Aspergillus sp. BAB-4037. Its description in RNAcentral is "eukaryotic LSU rRNA". The stretch from base 184 to 337 matches the Rfam family "5.8S ribosomal RNA". Lineage: Eukaryota; Fungi; Ascomycota; Eurotiomycetes; Eurotiales; Aspergillaceae. The record is from RNAcentral.